CCUAAUUUUAAAUGAAUCAUUGCGAAUCUUACUUAAAAACAAACCGCUACGAGCCGGAUUGCCCUAGAGCCGUGAACAGGCGGAGCAGAAGGAUACAAUGCACCCGUGAGGCACAAGCUAGAUCGCCGAAAACACCUGUUCUUUUUUAACAUUUAUCAACUCAGACGUGCUUUUCUACCUAACGUAUGGAUCUUCCCCUGAACGUGUGCCAAUACCACAAAACUACUACACCCUGCUCUCGAAGCU
This 246-nucleotide long non-coding RNA is filed under the name Aquilegia coerulea. Its description in RNAcentral is "long non-coding RNA (ACOE_LNC000968)". Lineage: Eukaryota; Viridiplantae; Streptophyta; Magnoliopsida; Ranunculales; Ranunculaceae. The record is from RNAcentral.